CGAUAUUCUGAAAAAUUCUAACCCUAGUUCGAUCAAAGAUAAUAAUAAGGCAAAGGAUGUCCAUAUGGAUAUUACUUGUUGUUUUUAUGGUAAGUUAAGGCAUUGAAAGAAUAAUAGCAAGCAUUAUCUUGCAAGUGCAAGUAAUGCACUGAAAGGUGCGUAUAUGAUACAGACCUACUUUUCAUUGAGUGCUUCAGGCUCUGAUACUUGGGUAUUGGAUAUUGCCUGUGGAUCGCAUAUUC
RNAcentral lists this long non-coding RNA (242 nucleotides) under Elaeis guineensis (African oil palm). RNAcentral describes it as "long non-coding RNA (EGUI_LNC040365)". The record is from RNAcentral. Lineage: Eukaryota; Viridiplantae; Streptophyta; Magnoliopsida; Arecales; Arecaceae.